RNAcentral lists this ribosomal RNA (158 nucleotides) under uncultured bacterium. RNAcentral describes it as "partial 16S ribosomal RNA". The record is from RNAcentral.
GCACGAAGUUAGCCGACCCUUAUUCUUAUGGUACAAUCAGCCCCGGACACGUCCAGGGGCUUUUUUCCCAUACAAAAGAAGUCUACAAUUCGUAGAACCUUCAGUCCUUCACGCGGCAUGGCUGGAUCAGUCUUGCGACCAUUGUCCAAUAUUCCUUA